GAUGAAGAACGUAGCGAAAUGCGAUAAGUAAUGCGAAUUGCAGAAUUCAGUGAAUCAUCGAGUCUUUGAACGCACAUUGCGCCCCCUGGUAUUCCGGGGGGCAUGCCUGUCCGAGCGUCAUUGCUGCCCUCAAGCACGGCUUGUGUGUUGGGCCUCCGUCCUCCUCCCGGGGGACGGGCCCGAAAGGCAGCGGCGGCACCGCGUCCGGUCCUCGAGCGUAUGGGGCUUCGUCACCCGCUCUUGUAGGCCCGGCCGGCGCUUGCCGACACAUUAAUCUUUUUUCCAGGUUGACCUCGGAUCAGGUAGGGAUACCCGCUGAACUUAAGCAUAUCAAUAAGCGGAGGA
RNAcentral lists this unclassified non-coding RNA (345 nucleotides) under soil metagenome. RNAcentral's name for it is "partial contains 5.8S ribosomal RNA, internal transcribed spacer 2, and large subunit ribosomal RNA". The stretch from base 1 to 120 matches the Rfam family "5.8S ribosomal RNA", at positions 35 to 154 of the family's 154-position model. The record is from RNAcentral.